GCGUCCUUAAUUCAGUGGUAGAAACGCAUUACGCGGAGGGCGCUGGUUCGAUUCCAGCAGGGCGCA
RNAcentral lists this transfer RNA (66 nucleotides) under Lachnospiraceae bacterium. Its description in RNAcentral is "tRNA-OTHER". It matches the Rfam family "tRNA". From Rfam's summary of the family: Transfer RNA (tRNA) molecules are approximately 80 nucleotides in length. RNAcentral also lists the same sequence under 1 other name. Lineage: Bacteria; Bacillati; Bacillota; Clostridia; Lachnospirales; Lachnospiraceae. The record is from RNAcentral.